AACGAACGCUGGCGGCAUGCCUAACACAUGCAAGUCGAACGAGACCUUCGGGUCUAGUGGCGCACGGGUGCGUAACGCGUGGGAACCUGCCCUUAGGUUCGGAAUAACUCCCCGAAAGGGGUGCUAAUACCGGAUAAUGUCUUCGGACCAAAGAUUUUUCGCCUUUGGAUGGGCCCGCGUUGGAUUAGCUAGUUGGUAGGGUAAAAGCCUACCAAGGCGACGAUCCAUAGCUGGUCUGAGAGGAUGAUCAGCCACACUGGGACUGAGACACGGCCCAGACUCCUACGGGAGGCAGCAGUGGGGAAUAUUGGACAAUGGGCGAAAGCCUGAUCCAGCAAUGCCGCGUGAGUGAUGAAGGCCUUAGGGUUGUAAAGCUCUUUUACCCGGGAUGAUAAUGACAGUACCGGGAGAAUAAGCUCCGGCUAACUCCGU
RNAcentral lists this ribosomal RNA (432 nucleotides) under uncultured bacterium. RNAcentral's name for it is "partial 16S ribosomal RNA". It matches the Rfam family "Bacterial small subunit ribosomal RNA", at positions 29 to 506 of the family's 1533-position model. The record is from RNAcentral.